This 77-nucleotide transfer RNA is filed under the name Chlorobiota bacterium. RNAcentral describes it as "tRNA-Asn". It matches the Rfam family "tRNA". Rfam says of the family: Transfer RNA (tRNA) molecules are approximately 80 nucleotides in length. Their secondary structure includes four short double-helical elements and three loops (D, anti-codon, and T loops). Further hydrogen bonds mediate the characteristic L-shaped molecular structure. tRNAs have two regions of fundamental functional importance: the anti-codon, which is responsible for specific mRNA codon recognition, and the 3' end, to which the tRNAs corresponding amino acid is attached (by aminoacyl-tRNA synthetases). tRNAs cope with the degeneracy of the genetic code in two manners: having more than one tRNA (with a specific anti-codon) for a particular amino acid; and 'wobble' base-pairing, i.e. permitting non-standard base-pairing at the 3rd anti-codon position. The record is from RNAcentral. Lineage: Bacteria; Pseudomonadati; Chlorobiota.
UCCCCCAUAGCUCAGUUGGUUAGAGCAGUGGACUGUUAAUCCAUGUGUCGCUGGUUCAAGUCCAGCUGGGGGAGCCA